UGGGGAAUUUUGGACAAUGGGCGAAAGCCUGAUCCAGCAAUGCCGCGUGAGUGAAGAAGGCCUUCGGGUUGUAAAGCUCUUUUGUCAGGGAAGAAACGGUGAGGGCUAAUAUCCCUUGCUAAUGACGGUACCUGAAGAAUAAGCACCGGCUAACUACGUGCCAGCAGCCGCGGUAAUACGUAGGGUGCAAGCGUUAAUCGGAAUUACUGGGCGUAAAGCGUGCGCAGGCGGUUUUGUAAGUCUGAUGUGAAAUCCCCGGGCUCAACCUGGGAAUUGCAUUGGAGACUGCAAGGCUAGAAUCUGGCAGAGGGGGGUAGAAUUCCACGUGUAGCAGUGAAAUGCGUAGAUAUGUGGAGGAACACCGAUGGCGAAGGCAGCCCCCUGGGUCAAGAUUGACGCUCAUGCACGAAAGCGUGGGGAGCAAACA
Molecule: ribosomal RNA, 427 nt
Filed under: uncultured bacterium
Lineage: Bacteria
Description: bacterial SSU rRNA
Rfam family: Bacterial small subunit ribosomal RNA
Source: RNAcentral